ACAUGCAAGUCGAACGGAAAGGCCCCUUCGGGGGUACUCGAGUGGCGAACGGGUGAGUAACACGUGGGCAAUCUGCCCUGCACUUCGGGAUAAGCCUGGGAAACUGGGUCUAAUACCGGAUAGGACCUUUAGGCGCAUGUCUUUAGGUGGAAAGCUUUUGCGGUGUGGGAUGGGCCCGCGGCCUAUCAGCUUGUUGGUGGGGUGAUGGCCUACCAAGGCGACGACGGGUAGCCGGCCUGAGAGGGUGUCCGGCCACACUGGGACUGAGAUACGGCCCAGACUCCUACGGGAGGCAGCAGUGGGGAAUAUUGCACAAUGGGCGCAAGCCUGAUGCAGCGACGCCGCGUGGGGGAUGACGGCCUUCGGGUUGUAAACCUCUUUCACCAUCGACGAAGGUUCGGGUUUUCUCGGAUUGACGGUAGGUGGAGAAGAAGCACCGGCCAACUACGUGCCAGCAGCCGCGGUAAUACGUAGGGUGCGAGCGUUGUCCGGAAUUACUGGGCGUAAAGAGCUCGUAGGUGGUUUGUCGCGUUGUUCGUGAAAUCUCACGGCUUAACUGUGAGCGUGCGGGCGAUACGGGCAGACUAGAGUACUGCAGGGGAGACUGGAAUUCCUGGUGUAGCGGUGGAAUGCGCAGAUAUCAGGAGGAACACCGGUGGCGAAGGCGGGUCUCUGGGCAGUAACUGACGCUGAGGAGCGAAAGCGUGGGGAGCGAACAGGAUUAGAUACCCUGGUAGUCCACGCCGUAAACGGUGGGUACUAGGUGUGGGUUUCCUUCCUUGGGAUCCGUGCCGUAGCUAACGCAUUAAGUACCCCGCCUGGGGAGUACGGCCGCAAGGCUAAAACUCAAAGGAAUUGACGGGGGCCCGCACAAGCGGCGGAGCAUGUGGAUUAAUUCGAUGCAACGCGAAGAACCUUACCUGGGUUUGACAUGCACAGGACGCGUCUAGAGAUAGGCGUUCCCUUGUGGCCUGUGUGCAGGUGGUGCAUGGCUGUCGUCAGCUCGUGUCGUGAGAUGUUGGGUUAAGUCCCGCAACGAGCGCAACCCUUGUCUCAUGUUGCCAGCGGGUAAUGCCGGGGACUCGUGAGAGACUGCCGGGGUCAACUCGGAGGAAGGUGGGGAUGACGUCAAGUCAUCAUGCCCCUUAUGUCCAGGGCUUCACACAUGCUACAAUGGCCGGUACAAAGGGCUGCGAUGCCGCAAGGUUAAGCGAAUCCUUUUAAAGCCGGUCUCAGUUCGGAUUGGGGUCUGCAACUCGACCCCAUGAAGUCGGAGUCGCUAGUAAUCGCAGAUCAGCAACGCUGCGGUGAAUACGUUCCCGGGCCUUGUACACACCGCCCGUCACGUCAUGAAAGUCGGUAACACCCGAAGCCAGUGGCCUAACCCUUGGGAGGGAGCUGUCGAAGGUGGGAUCGGCGAUUGGGACGAAGUCGUAACAA
This 1440-nucleotide ribosomal RNA is filed under the name Mycobacterium intracellulare subsp. chimaera. Its description in RNAcentral is "bacterial SSU rRNA". It matches the Rfam family "Bacterial small subunit ribosomal RNA". The record is from RNAcentral. Lineage: Bacteria; Bacillati; Actinomycetota; Actinomycetes; Mycobacteriales; Mycobacteriaceae.